Molecule: ribosomal RNA, 417 nt
Filed under: cyanobacterium IW10
Lineage: Bacteria; Bacillati; Cyanobacteriota
Description: bacterial SSU rRNA
Rfam family: Bacterial small subunit ribosomal RNA
Source: RNAcentral
GAUGAACGCUGGCGGUAUGCUUAACACAUGCAAGUCGAACGAAGUCUUCGGACUUAGUGGCGGACGGGUGAGUAACGCGUAAGAAUCUACCUAUAGGUUCGGGACAACAGUUAGAAAUGACUGCUAAUACCGGAUAUGCCCUCGGGUGAAAGUUUUAAUGCCUGUAGAUGAGCUUGSSUUCGAUUAGCUAGAUGGGUGGGGUAAUGGCCUACCAUGGCGACGAUCGAUAACUGGUCUGAGAGGAUGACCAGUCACACUGGGACUGAGACACGGCCCAGACUCCUACGGGAGGCAGCAGUGGGGAAUUUUCCGCAAUGGGCGAAAGCCUGACGGAGCAAUACCGCGUGAGGGACGAAGGCCUGUGGGUUGUAAACCUCUUUUGUUAGGGAAGAUAAUGACGGAACCUAACGAAUAAAC